CACUUGGUGGCGAUAAAAGGAACUGGCGUCUGACAAGCCGGGUCUGUCUGCUCCGGCUUUUGAUGUUGCUGCCUCAGGGCUUUGAUUAAACGUCUCACUUUUGUAGAGGUUGUCGUCAUGCUUGCCCUGGAGGGUCACUGCAAAAUAUAAAAAUAGGAAGCUUCAUGAAUCGAUUGUGCAGCAGCCCUACUGCGCUUCCUCUGAUAUAGCCACGAUUAACAACACAACAGUGUUGAUAAUCUAACUUGUGAAUUACCACAGGUGCACGUUGAAGGCGGAAAUGAAAAUGGCUUGCAACUGGUGCAUGAAGAAAUUACCGACAGGUUAGCUGCAGUCCAGCUGCCACCAACAGGGUGGAAAACAAACUGCUAUCUCCCUGUUCAAGCGCUUUUGCUGUCCAAACACUGGUUCCUGUGGAUGGGGUGGUAGAAGCUCCACUGUCUGAUAUAGAAGUAGUGAACAACCCUAAGGACACAUGCAAGAAAGCACAUCGGAAUUUCAACAAAUAAUCCACGAAAAAGCCAGUCAAUGCUAACACCAGGACCAUCCUGCUACCAGUCAGGGACGUUACAUUUCAUGCUCUCAUUCACUUUUCGUGAAUUACUUGUUGACUUUGUCCCAUGGUAAACCUCCCCGCAGCUCAUUUGCCUAUCGGUUAAUGUUGCGGCUUGUGUUGUGAUUUUCUGUUUGCGUGUUCCAGACUCAGAACAGUCACUUUCGAUCAGGUCACGUACAUUGCAUUUAGACACGACAAACAGGAAGCGGUGUUUCUCAACACAACUUAGCAGUGGCCUUCCUGCACUACUACUCUGGCCAUUAAGCGUGAAUGGAAAGCCGCAAAUCAUAUUCACUGCACUUUUAUUCGUGCUAUAUAAUCCUGUUCGAGUUCUGUCAAAGGAGCGUGUAAUGCCACGCAACAUAGUAAUAUAGUUCAGUGCUUCCUUGAAAUGGGAGGAACGGCAGCAGUGAUGGCCACUAACUACUUCUACAGUAGUUUAACUAUAACUACUAACUACUUUGUGAUUGAGUAGUUUAACUAGUAGUUCAGCUACUUUUCAGGGGAGUAGUUAAAACUACUUUUUUAACUACUGCAAUGUAGUUUAACUACAUCUAUAACUACUUAACGUUGUCCACCAACACCAAUCCCUUGUAGUGUUCUUGGACACCUAAAUAUCAAUCACAAGCAAUAAUAAACUUUGGCUCAAGCCAUUGCUACGAUCGUCAAAUACAAAGCUUGCGGCGGGAUUCUUUCUAUGCCUACGCGAUAAACUAAGUUGCAGAAUUAUUUCACAGCAUAUGAGGCUUCACUAGACAAGCAUUAAACGUAGAGGUAUGCAAAUAUUCGAAAUUUCGAAUAUUUGCGAUAUUCGAUUCAUAUUCGUAUUCGAAAAUUUGAUAUUUGAAGUUUUGGAAUAUUCGUAAAAGUUAGAAUAUGUAUUCGACUUGUUUUUUCGCAUAUCACAGCAACUUAUUCCGAAGCUGUUUCGGGCUGCGCACUGGAUUUUGUACUUUGUGGCGACGAACAUGAAUAGUAGAACAGCUGCAAAGCGACACGCGGAGCUUCCCAGGUACGCUCGUUUGCGAAUGCGUCGCUAUACGUUCGGUAACCGAAACCGAAACUAGUACGGAGUUGUGUGCGGUCGCCAUUUUAGAGUCCGCCCCACCGAAACCCGAGACCGCGGUACGUUUCAUACAUCGUCAGCACUGUCGCGGCUUUAGUGGAUUGCUAGCGAACGCUGAACAUUCGUAUGAGGCCUACAGUUCGGUGAAAUUACGGUUAAAUAUCGAAAUUUUGUUGACGUUGAGCUGAACACCGCUGUUCAGCGUCCAAUUGCAUGCACAGCCAAAACCUGCGUUUCGAAUGCGUCUUUUUCGGUUUCGUUUUGUGGUUGUCAGCGAUAUAUGAUAGAAUCAUGGUCGCGUGCGAUGACGGCAAUAAUCGAGGAGUGGGACGUGUUGAUAUUUCGACAUAGUUUCUCCAACUCCGGCGCUCUGCGACCGUAUGAAAGCGCCAACUAGGGCGACAGUAACGCUGCAGUCAUUUGAAACUGCGCUAGCUGUUGUUACAGAUGAUAGCAAGACGCAUAUAUAGCCUUAAGCCGGACCUUCACGGAGCGAUUUUGCUCGCGACUCACGCGUGUCGCCGUCGGCGCGACAAAGUUUGAGGCCCGCGCGCAGAUUUCCGCCGUGAAAUGAAAGGAGCGCUGAAUACGAACGUCGCGGAAACAAUCACGCGUGAUACAGCCAUACAACAUCGUCGAGGAUCGCAGUUUUACUGCGCUAUAAUGCAUGAGGCCGUUCCAAACUAUGCAUUACCGUAAGUAACGAUGGUCUCACGCGUGAUGUCACGCGUGAGAGCAGUGAAACCGUGCAUUUUCUCGCCUUCACGACAAAUGCGGAAGGCAUUGUCAAUGCAAGAAGAGAUCACUUGCCACCAUCAUUUUCCUUCUGAGGUGCUCAUCACUAAAUCAUCCCACACUCUGAACAUGUCAUUGCUCUUCACUUCCAUUCUGUCUGUUUCACCAGCACUUUACAAUGCCAACACAGGUGUUCACUGUUCAUGAAAGAUUUUUGAACUGAAAGUUUUUUCUUGCGGUUUUCAGCUUGCCUCAUGAAAACAGCACACUGUUUCAUUGUAAAAAUAAUUUUACUGUACAUGUGCAUAUAAGCAUGUAUACCCUAUGCUAAGCCAAAACAUUAAUACAUAUUCCUCAUUAGCACUUGGGACAUUUUUCUAAGGAUCAGCAGAACACAACUGUGACGAUGCUUGUUUUCGGGGCUUAAUUAACUUAAUUAACUCUUAGAAGCCGUUAUCCUAUGUGUGGUAUUCGAUAUUCGAUUCGUAUUCGAAAAUUUCAAUAUUCGCACACCUCUAAUUAAAAGUGAAGGUUUAGUACACAUGCACGACACAAUUGCUCUGCACCCCCGUUCUCACCAAACAAGUAGCUCAGGGCAAAAUUCGGAAGCACAAUCGUGCCCUAAAGCUUGCGGCAAAAUUGGAAGUAGUUGGCGCCUUCAGUAACCUAACUACUGUAGUUAACUACUUAAAAUAGUAGUUUAACUAGUAGUUGCCACUACAUUUCUGCAAGUAGCUGAUAACUACUUUUUAACUACAAUCAGAUAGUUUAACUAGUAGUUAGCUACUGGCCAUCACUGCGGCAGCACAUGAAUGCAGGGAGGAAACUGUCAUGUUAUGACAAGUGUUUACGUAUUGUACAUCUAACUUAGAUUUCUUAGAUUUCGUCGAUAGUUUCGCCUUUCUCAUCCGCGUCCCGAUCUGUGGUGAAACUGUAAUGUCUGAAAUGUUUUGGAGUCGCGCACAAACAGUUUACCAGGUGACUCUGUGGACCAUCAGGGAAGCACUGCAGAAAAGUCAUUAAGGCAUGUGCUAUAUAUGCCAUUAGGGAAAACUUUCCUUCUGAAGCAUGCAAAGGUUUUUGUCUUUUUGAUGUGUGAUGCAGUAGUUGUUGUCUGACAGUAUGUAUGUUUCUUACCUUUCACUAAGGAGAAGCUUUCACUUUGUUUUCAGGUGCUUGUGGGCAGCAUUGAAUGCCUGCCACCUUGACAGACUACACUGGAUGGUUUGGUCCUGAACACUGCGAGAUCACAACUGUAUCCCUUUCAUGCACAAUAGAGGCCUGCCAUAUACCAUUCUGGAGUAACCAGACAGCCACUACACAAUAAAUACGUUCUACAAACAUCAAAGCUUUGAACAGGUGUUUGCUACAAACAUGUUCCAGUCCAUAAACUCUAAGAGAGCAUAGGUUAUCAU
This is a long non-coding RNA of Ornithodoros turicata, 3772 nucleotides long. RefSeq lists it as uncharacterized. NCBI's taxonomy places the organism in Eukaryota, Metazoa, Arthropoda, Arachnida, Ixodida, Argasidae. The transcript has 5 exons. The record is from RefSeq and is a predicted model, not a curated record.